This 1433-nucleotide long non-coding RNA is filed under the name Homo sapiens (human). RNAcentral describes it as "non-protein coding lnc-COQ8A-5:1". The record is from RNAcentral. Lineage: Eukaryota; Metazoa; Chordata; Mammalia; Primates; Hominidae.
GCUCACCAUACCAGGUAUCAGGAAUUAUUUUAGAGUGAAAGUAAUUGUAAUUAAGACAAUUUACUGCCAAUGCAGGAAAAACCAAAAGAACAAUGGAAAAGAAUUGAGAGUAUCCAAACAGAUCCAUGCAUAUAAAGCAGAAAUAGCCAUUACAAAUCGAUGGGGGGAAAUAUAGCAGGGUCACUUGUUCACAUGGGAAAAAGACAUUAGAAGCCCAUUUCCCAUUAUACAUAACAAUAUAUAUCAGUUUGAUUAAGGUCCUAAACAAGUAAAAGCAAAAUUUAAAAACUUUUAGAAGAAAAUAUAGAAGAAAAUCUUUAUAAUCUCUGCAUAGAGAACUGUUUUAAAAAGACAUAAAAAGCAGAAGUCAUAAAGAAAAAGACUGAUAAAUCUGACUAUUUUAAAAUCAAAACUUUUGCAAGACAAAAAGACACCACAAAUAAAAUUUUAAAAUAAGCCACAGACUGGGAGAAAAUAUUUGCAAUGCAUAUAGCUAGCAAAGAAUUAGUAUCUAGAGUAUAUAAUGAACACAAAAAGCUAUAAGAAAAAUGAUUCAAUAGAACAACAAAGGACACAAACAGGCAAAUCAUCAAUGGUCAAUAAACAUACAAAAAGAUGCUGAAUAACACUAGAAAACAGAUGUAAUACAAAAAUGACACUUAAUACCCAUCAAGCUGGCAAAAGUUAAUGUGUGACUGUGAGGUGAGGAUGUGGGGAAAUGGGGAACUCACACACACUGCUGGGGGAGUGAAAAUUGGUCCAACCACUGUGGAAAACAAUUUGGCAAGAUCCAGUUAAACUUGAAAAUGCAUAUAACAUACAACUCAGUAAUUCCACUAAGUAUACAUGCCAAACAAACUCUGUACAUUUGCAAAAACAGAUAUUAGGAUAUUAAUUUCAGCACUGAUAAUAAUGAAAAAUUGGAAACAACCUAAAUAUCCAACUGCAGGAGAAUGGAUAAGUAGUUGUGGUAUAUGCCACAGUUAUAAUGAAUGAACUAAAUGAACACAUAUCUGUAGGAAUAAACCUGAAAAGCAGACUUCUGAAUGAAAAAAAUUACAGAAGGAUACAGGUAAUAUUUAUGUAAAUUAUAAACACAUAAUAAGCACUACUAUGUAUCAUUUGUGGAUACAAAUGAAAUGAACAUCUAAAACCAAGAAAGGGAAGAUGCACAUCAGCUUCAGGAUAUUUAGAUAUGUCUGGGAAAGAAGAGUGGGGAACGGUAUACACGAGGAUGUUUCAACUGUUUCUGAAAUAUUUUUGAAUAAAAACCUGAAAAACAAGCAAAAUUUUCGUAUCUGUUUAAUCUGUGGGUGAUAUUUACAUGGGUGUUUAUAUUCUCUGAAUGCUUGAAAUAUUUUAUCAUUAAAACAAAAAUGUAUAAUCUCAAAAUAUUAAAACAAUUAUAACUAAAAACACAAGAGGGUCUCAUU